Molecule: transfer RNA, 94 nt
Filed under: Povalibacter uvarum
Lineage: Bacteria; Pseudomonadati; Pseudomonadota; Gammaproteobacteria; Steroidobacterales; Steroidobacteraceae
Description: tRNA-OTHER
Rfam family: transfer-messenger RNA
About the family: Bacterial tmRNA, also known as 10Sa RNA or SsrA, is named for its dual tRNA and mRNA-like properties. Its role is to liberate the mRNA from a stalled ribosome.
Source: RNAcentral
GUAGCGCAUGGUGAGAACUAAAGAAUGGGCUAAGCAUGUAGAUCUUGUAGCGUAGUGCUUACGGACGCGGGUUCGAUUCCCGCCGCCUCCACCA